RNA transcript from Leucoraja erinaceus (little skate), 4101 nucleotides. It is a transcript of the gene named myelin expression factor 2-like, with no coding region annotated. Lineage: Eukaryota; Metazoa; Chordata; Chondrichthyes; Rajiformes; Rajidae. The transcript has 20 exons. The record is from RefSeq and is a predicted model, not a curated record.
UUGGUGAUGUUAUAUACGUGGAACUCUUUAAGGAUGCUGAAGGAAAGUCAAUGGGUUGUGGGUAAGUAACUUACUGUUCAGUGGCUAUGCUGCCAUGAUGUAUAAUUUAGCUAGUUUCCUGGCAGAGGGAGAGAAUUGUUUCUGACCAAGGGUUCACCACACUUAAGAAUUUUCAAUUUGACCACCAAAGUUUCUCACUAGAUUCUAGUUACCAUGUUUCAAGGUUUUGGUAAUAGUUUUUAUCUUGUUUUUUAAUGGGUGGAUAUGCCACCACCUCAGAAUAACAUCACAUAGAUUUGUCAACAGUGCUGUAGAAUACCGAUGGGGAUGCAAAAAUCUGCAGAUACUGGAAUCUUGUGCUGGAGGAACUCAUCAGGUCAGGCAGCAUCUGUGGAGUGAACGGACAGACGAUGUUUCGGGAUCCUUCUUCAGACUGAUGGAGUAGGGAUGGGUGGCAAGAUCAGAAAAAAGAGGUUGGGGAAGGAAAAAGGCUGUGUUGUGGAAUUCAAAACAGAAGAUUUAGUCGCAAAGGCUUUGGAUGUUAUGAACAACUAUGAACUUGAUGGAAGAGAGCUUAACAUAAAGCAGGAUGCUGAAGGAGAACAUGCUCGCAAAGCGGUGCAGCGUGGAGGAGGUGGUUCAUACCAUGGUGGACCUAGGCCAGAUAUCAGUUCAUCAGUUCUGAAUUUGCCACUUCAUCUUAUCAACAAUCCAAACAUACCUGCCGAAGUUCUCAACGCGCUGCAGGCUGGACGAUUAUUACCAACUGUAUUUGUUGCCAAUCUUGAUUUUAAAGUGGGUUGGAAAAAGCUGAAAGAAGUAUUUGCCAUGGCUGGGACGGUAAAACGUGCAAAUGUCAAAGAAGGCAGAGAUGGCAAGAGCCGUGGCUUAGGGACUGUGACAUUCGAACUGCCGCUCGAAGCCAUUCAAGCUGUCGCUAUGUUUAAUGGACAGCUCUUGCUUGACAGACCAAUGCUUGUGAAAAUGGAAGCCAGAUCCCUUCCACAUGAUGACUUUUGUUCUGUGGCCCAGAUUCCUCAAUUGCCUAGUGGACUCGGUGGCAUUGGAAUGGGACUUGGACUUAGUGGCCAGCCGAUUGUUGUGAAUGAAAUAAAAAUGAACAAUGCAAUGGGCAUCAUGGCAUCUGGAGGAAGUGGAAUGGAUGGAACUGCCUCUGGGGGAAUAAACCAAAUGGGUGGAGGAAUAAGUGGUUCCACUGGUUUCAGUGGUGAUAUGGGCGUGAUGAACAAUGUAGGAGGCUACGGUGGUGGACCCAUGGGAAGCAUGGGCAACAUGGAUCGAAUGGCAGGUAUGGGUACAGUUGAAAACUUCAAAGGAAAUAUGGCCCCAGGAAUGGGAAACAUGGGAGGAAUGGGCAGCAACAUGAGUGCUGUUGGCGGAAUGGGCAGUGGUGUGGCUGGAAUGGGAAGCAGUAUGGGAGAAAUGUAUCGUGCUGGAAUGGCAUCCAAUGCUAUGGGUGGUAGUUCUGAUCGAGAAUUUGGAAGAAGUGAUCUGGGUGUGAAUCGUGGUUUUGGGGAUUCAUUUGGUGGAAUGGGAGGUGGAAUGGGUGGAAAUUUCGGAGGACCCAUGUGCGGCGGAAUGGGGAACACUUGUAUGGACAUAAUGGCUUCUGCAUUAAGAGGUGGAAUGGGUGGAAAUUUCGGAGGACCUAUGUGCGGCGGAAUGGGGAACACUUGUAUGGACAUAAUGGCUUCUGCAUUAAGAGGUGGAAUGGGUGGAAAUUUCGGAGGACCUAUGUGCGGCGGAAUGGGGAACGCUUGUAUGGACCCAAUGGCUUCUGCAUUAAGAGGUGGAAUGGGUGGAAAUUUCGGAGGACCCAUGUGCGGCGGAAUGGGGAAUGCUUGUAUGGACCCAAUGGCUUCUGCAUUAAGUGUAUUGGCUGCUAUGAAUAGCAUGGCUGGAGGCAUGGCGAUGGGUAUGGAUUGCAUGGGGUCCAAUCUUGAUCGAAUGGGACCGGGAAUGGGACCUGGAAUGGGAGCAGGGACUGAAAUGAAUAUGAAUCAUGGAUUUGGAAGUGUGAACACGGGAUCAAUGGGAAGUGGAUUAAAUGACCGUUCAAGUGGUUUUCAAAGCUCUCAGAUCUUUGUAAGAAAUCUUUCUUAUAAUUUAACAUGGCAGAAGCUAAAGGAAAGGUUCGAUAAAUUCGGUCAAGUAGUUUUUGCAGAAAUAAAAAUGGAAAAUGGCAAGUCCAAGGGGUGUGGGAUUGUGCGGUUUGAUUCCCCAGAAGUUGCAAAAAAAGCCUGCAUACUGAUGAACGGCGCAAAGAUUAAUGGGAGAGUGAUAGAUGUGCGCAUGGAUCCCAAUGCGUGAAUGAAGACUAUGCCAUGUAUAGGAAGAUACAACUUGACAUUAACUUUAUUGUUUUUUUUUUUUGUACUGAAGUAAUUUCCAACCGCUGUUAUGUUAUGUGAACUAUAAUGUCAUUUUAAAGUUUGCCAGCUCAAAUUGGAUAUUGACUGUUGUAUGUUGAUGUAAUUUCUGUUAUCGGACUGUUUUUAUAUAUAUAUAUAUAGAGAGAGAGAGAGAGCGAGAGAGAGAGAGUAAUUUAGUUGACACAUUUGGUCACCUGUUUGAAUGGAUACAUUUUUCAAUAAAAUGUUGUCUAAAUUUACUUGAAUUUUUUAAAUAAUGAAAAGAAUCGAGAAUUGUUAUGAAAAUCUCCACUUGAAGAACUGCGUGCAAGGCUUAUAUACAUUUCCCUCAAAGUGUAAGGCUCUUUGUAGGGAAGCACCAGGUCUCAAUUCAGAUCUUUGCAAAAUGUAACUGGAUUUGUUUGUGCCAAUGGUCUAUACUCUAUAUUUAUUAGUUCCCCCUAAAAUCCAGAGAUUAUAAUCCGGUGCUCCACAAACUGAAUACCAAUACUUUUAAUUUUUUAGAAGAUGGACACAAAGUGCUCGAGUAACUCAGCGGGUCAGGCAGCAUUUCUGUAUAAAAAGGAGAUAUGUUUCGUGUCGGGAUCUGCCUUCAUACAGAAGGGGUAAGAAGAAUUGUCUUGGCCCGAAACGCCACCCAUUCUUUUUCUCCAGAGAUGCUGCCUGACCAGCUGAGUUACUCCAGCACUUUGUCUAUCUUCGGUAUAUACCAGCAUAUGCAGUCCCUUUCUACACACUUUGAAUGUUUACAUUGUUUCAGUGUCAAAACCCUUGUUGAUAGUUGCUUUGGUUUUGACCAAAACCUUUUGACGUCUUAAGUGUUACGCAAUGAGAAUAUAGUCAUCUUGUACUUAAAUCCACUGAAAAUUUAAUUCCCAAGGAUUUUUUUACUUAAUCUCGCAAACUUACAAUGCACAUCGAUGGUCAAUGUUGCGUGCUUAAACCUGUAUUGACUGGAUGAGUACAUUGGGAAAUUGCAUUUGAUUGAAUUAGGUGGGAUUAGUGCAUUUUUAAUAAAAAUGUAUAUAAUAAUGGUGGUAUAAGAGUUUACUGCUUAAGCGCACAAAACUAUUUGGAACCCUUCAGUGAAUAAUUUAGGAAUUAUAGAACUGGUAAUCGAUAAACUAAUUUUGUCCUGUUGCUUGUUUACUUCCAGGAAAAAUUGGUCACUUUGAAUUUAUUGCCUUAGUUCUCAAGUACAGUGCCAAGCUUAGUUCCAUGAAGGAUAAAACAUUGGUACAGUUUCAAUUACUAAUUAAAAGAGGAUCCUGGCAAGCCGUGGCCAUACCCGACAGCAGGCCCAGCUCGCCUGCUGCAGACCGCGGUGGAGCCCACCGUGGCGACCGGGCUCCACUGCCGUGGGCCAGGAACUCUCCCUGGAAGACCCAGUGGGCCACGGCAUGUGGAGGGGAAUCCUUGGAGCUCCUCCCCGAAGACUGGAGUACCGAAGAGGAGGCGGCCGCCGAUGACGGUCACGAGGAUCAAGGCUGGUUGCAAAGUGAACCGGGGUCUUAUCUCUUGCACCCUCGAGGUCGGCUGUGGGAGACACCCCCAGGACAUGAGCGUGGCCAGGUGAGAAGAGGAACAUCGGUACUCUGAACAAUCCAGCGGCUUGCGUGUGGACCAGAUUUUGGAAAUGGUGCCAAAUCUGGUGACAGAAAAUGUCACUGUUUUGCACAUGUGACAAUAAAGCACCUAUUGUAUUGCU